This 24-nucleotide non-coding RNA is filed under the name Arabidopsis thaliana (thale cress). The record is from RNAcentral. Lineage: Eukaryota; Viridiplantae; Streptophyta; Magnoliopsida; Brassicales; Brassicaceae.
AUCAUACCAGUGGGUUGCCUUCCA